RNAcentral lists this ribosomal RNA (497 nucleotides) under uncultured bacterium. Its description in RNAcentral is "partial 16S ribosomal RNA". It matches the Rfam family "Bacterial small subunit ribosomal RNA", at positions 28 to 507 of the family's 1533-position model. The record is from RNAcentral.
GACGAACGCUGGCGGCGUGCCUAAUACAUGCAAGUUGAGCGCUGAAGGUUGGUACUUGUACCAACUGGAUGAGCAGCGAACGGGUGACUAACGCGUGGGGAAUCUGCCUUUGAGCGGGGGACAACAUUUGGAAACGAAUGCUAAUACCGCAUAAAAACUUUAAACACAAGUUUUAAGUUUGAAAGAUGCAAUUGCAUCACUCAAAGAUGAUCCCGCGUUGUAUUAGCUAGUUGGUGAGGUAAAGGCUCACCAAGGCGAUGAUACAUAGCCGACCUGAGAGGGUGAUCGGCCACAUUGGGACUGAGACACGGCCCAAACUCCUACGGGAGGCAGCAGUAGGGAAUCUUCGGCAAUGGACGAAAGUCUGACCGAGCAACGCCGCGUGAGUGAAGAAGGUUUUCGGAUCGUAAAACUCUGUUGGUAGAGAAGAACGUUGGUGAGAGUGGAAAGCUCAUCAAGUGACGGUAACUACCCAGAAAGGGACGGCUAACUACGUG